GCCGCGGUAGCUCAGCCUGGGAGACCAACUCAUUGGCUCGUAAGCAUCCGGCUGAAGACCGGAGUGUCGUCGGCUCAAAUCCGACCCGCGGCA
This 93-nucleotide transfer RNA is filed under the name Nitrososphaerota archaeon. Its description in RNAcentral is "tRNA-Phe". It matches the Rfam family "tRNA". Rfam says of the family: Transfer RNA (tRNA) molecules are approximately 80 nucleotides in length. Their secondary structure includes four short double-helical elements and three loops (D, anti-codon, and T loops). Further hydrogen bonds mediate the characteristic L-shaped molecular structure. tRNAs have two regions of fundamental functional importance: the anti-codon, which is responsible for specific mRNA codon recognition, and the 3' end, to which the tRNAs corresponding amino acid is attached (by aminoacyl-tRNA synthetases). tRNAs cope with the degeneracy of the genetic code in two manners: having more than one tRNA (with a specific anti-codon) for a particular amino acid; and 'wobble' base-pairing, i.e. permitting non-standard base-pairing at the 3rd anti-codon position. The record is from RNAcentral. Lineage: Archaea; Thermoproteati; Nitrososphaerota.